CAUGCAAGUCGAGCGGCAGCGCGGGGCAACCUGGCGGCGAGCGGCGAACGGGUGAGUAAUACAUCGGAACGUGCCCAGACGUGGGGGAUAACUACUCGAAAGAGUGGCUAAUACCGCAUACGAUCUACGGAUGAAAGCGGGGGAUCGCAAGACCUCGCGCGUCUGGAGCGGCUGAUGGCAGAUUAGGUAGUUGGUGGGAUAAAAGCCUACCAAGCCAACGAUCUGUAGCUGGUCUGAGAGGAUGAUCAGCCACACUGGGACUGAGACACGGCCCAGACUCCUACGGGAGGCAGCAGUGGGGAAUUUUGGACAAUGGGCGAAAGCCUGAUCCAGCCAUUCCGCGUGCAGGAUGAAGGCCCUCGGGUUGUAAACUGCUUUUGUACAGAACGAAAAAGCUCUGGCUAAUACCUGGAGUCCAUGACGGUACUGUAAGAAUAAGCACCGGCUAACUACGUGCCAGCAGCCGCGGUAAUACGUAGGGUGCAAGCG
RNAcentral lists this ribosomal RNA (489 nucleotides) under uncultured bacterium. RNAcentral describes it as "bacterial SSU rRNA". It matches the Rfam family "Bacterial small subunit ribosomal RNA", at positions 54 to 540 of the family's 1533-position model. The record is from RNAcentral.